CGGCGGACGGGUGAGUAACACGUGGGUAACCUACCUAUAAGACUGGGACAACUUCGGGAAACCGGAGCUAAUACCGGAUAAGAUAUCGAACCGCAUGGUUCGAUAGUGAAAGAUGGUUUUGCUAUCACUUAUAGAUGGACCCGCGCCGUAUUAGCUAGUUGGUGAGGUAACGGCUCACCAAGGCAACGAUACGUAGCCGACCUGAGAGGGUGAUCGGCCACACUGGAACUGAGACACGGNUCCAGACUCCUACGGGAGGCAGCAGGG
Molecule: ribosomal RNA, 267 nt
Filed under: uncultured Staphylococcus sp.
Lineage: Bacteria; Bacillati; Bacillota; Bacilli; Caryophanales; Staphylococcaceae
Description: partial 16S ribosomal RNA
Rfam family: Bacterial small subunit ribosomal RNA
Source: RNAcentral